This 327-nucleotide long non-coding RNA is filed under the name Pan troglodytes (chimpanzee). Its description in RNAcentral is "long non-coding RNA NONPTRT016280". The record is from RNAcentral. Lineage: Eukaryota; Metazoa; Chordata; Mammalia; Primates; Hominidae.
CGAGCACAGCAGUGUGGGGUCGACCUGGGACGUUGGAGCUUUGUGGCAGGAGAAGCGUCCACCAUUACUGAAGCUUGAGUAGGCGGUUUUCUCCCGGUUCCAUCAAAAGGGUCAAAGAUAGGUGACAGUGUUGGCUAGACAGUUAAUAAUUUCCAUUGCUGUCUUUACACAUCAUUCCUGGCUGGCCAUUGGCCUUUUAGAAAAAAAACAAAGCAGCCAACUGUCUAUGAGAAAUAUGCAUGUGCUUAUUCUAAUAGGUCUCAUGCUUAAACAACAUGAUGAUAAGCCAACUAAAUGUCUUAUUUUGAGAAGUGUCUGUUCAUAUCC